AACGAACGCUGGCGGCAGGCUUAACACAUGCAAGUCGAGCGCCCCGCAAGGGGAGCGGCAGACGGGUGAGUAACGCGUGGGAACGUACCUUUUGGUUCGGAACAACUCCGGGAAACUGGAGCUAAUACCGGAUAAGCCCUAACGGGGAAAGAUUUAUCGCCGAAAGAUCGGCCCGCGUCUGUUUAGCUAGUUGGUGAGGUAAUGGCUCACCAAGGCGACGAUCAGUAGCUGGUCUGAGAGGAUGAUCAGCCACACUGGGACUGAGACACGGCCCAGACUCCUACGGGAGGCAGCAGUGGGGAAUAUUGGAAAAUGGGCGCAAGCCUGAUCCAGCCAUGCCGCGUGAGUGAUGAAGGCCUUAGGGUUGUAAAGCUCUUUUGUCCGGGAAGAUAAUGACUGUACCGGAAGAAUAAGCCCCGGCUAACUUCGUG
Molecule: ribosomal RNA, 431 nt
Filed under: uncultured bacterium
Lineage: Bacteria
Description: partial 16S ribosomal RNA
Rfam family: Bacterial small subunit ribosomal RNA
Source: RNAcentral